CCUACGGGAGGCAGCAGUGGGGAAUUUUGGACAAUGGGCGCAAGCCUGAUCCAGCAAUGCCGCGUGAGUGAAGAAGGCCUUCGGGUUGUAAAGCUCUUUUGUCAGGGAAGAAACGGUGAGCUCUAAUACAGUUUGCUAAUGACGGUACCUGAAGAAUAAGCACCGGCUAACUACGUGCCAGCAGCCGCGGUAAUACGUAGGGUGCAAGCGUUAAUCGGAAUUACUGGGCGUAAAGCGUGCGCAGGCGGUUUUGUAAGUCUGUCGUGAAAUCCCCGGGCUCAACCUGGGAAUGGCGAUGGAGACUGCAAGGCUAGAGUUUGGCAGAGGGGGGUAGAAUUCCACGUGUAGCAGUGAAAUGCGUAGAUAUGUGGAGGAACACCGAUGGCGAAGGCAGCCCCCUGGGUCAAAACUGACGCUCAUGCACGAAAGCGUGGGGAGCAAACAGGAUUAGAUACCCUGGUAGUCCACGCCCUAAACGAUGUCUACUAGUUGUCGGGUCUUAAUUGACUUGGUAACGCAGCUAACGCGUGAAGUAGACCGCCUGGGGAAUACGGUCGCAAGNUUAAAACUUAAAGGAAAUUGACCGGNGUGAGAGAGCGAGACGACGACGAGGGAGGAGG
RNAcentral lists this ribosomal RNA (620 nucleotides) under uncultured bacterium. RNAcentral describes it as "bacterial SSU rRNA". It matches the Rfam family "Bacterial small subunit ribosomal RNA", at positions 338 to 951 of the family's 1533-position model. The record is from RNAcentral.